RNAcentral lists this transfer RNA (82 nucleotides) under Pseudotabrizicola sediminis. RNAcentral describes it as "Tabrizicola sp. DRYC-M-16 tRNA-Ser". The record is from RNAcentral. Lineage: Bacteria; Pseudomonadati; Pseudomonadota; Alphaproteobacteria; Rhodobacterales; Paracoccaceae.
GGAUACAUGGCGGGNAAGGCACACCCCUGCUAAGGGUGCAGACGGCAACGUCUCGAGGGUUCGAAUCCCUUCCACUCCGCCA